GCAUUUCCAUCACUCUGGUGCAUAUCUUAAUACUUGAAUUAAAAUUAUUUCAGUUAAUCAACAUUCAAACUUUUUCUUCAUUUUCCUAAAAUAUACUACAACUGUUUCGUGGUCAAAACAAAAGCAGUCACUAUCUCUUCUACUGAAUUUAAAAUGACAAAUGCUUUUGUGUUUGUAAAUUUUCAAAUUUCAUUCUGGCGAUCCCUUCUUUCUCUCUCUCUCUCUGUUUCUUCCGGCUGCUUCAGUGGAUCAUCCACAUAUCUACUUGGCACAGGUUUUACAACAAAUUCCCUUCCUGGUGUGACCCAGCACUGAGAGUGCACUCAUGCAAUCCCAGUGGCUGACAAUCUAAAAAUCCAUUAACCAUGUAACCCAAUUAAUUAAGGAUUUAAGUAUAUUUUUCCUUGUUAUUCCAUACCUCCAUAUUUGACUUUUGAUUCACUCUGUCAUAUAUUGUUAUUAUACUCACAUAUAUAUACACCUACUCAUCCUUUAUAGUUCAAUUAUAUCUUUAACAUAUACCUUUUAAUAUUGUAAUCCUAUUUCUCAAUAUGUCUGUCCUCAUUUAGGAAUAUGUAUCUUGUUAUCUGUCAAACUUCGAUCAUAUUUUCACUUAGGUGUCAAACUUGUUCAUAAAUCUUUUUUUUUUUUUUUUAUAUUAUUAUUACAUUCUAUUUUUCCAAGUACUGCCCCUUUCUCAUUCAAGCUAGCUUAUGAGCUUUAUUAUUGCCACAGAUAUUACUGUUUUUUCUUUAGAAUUGUCUGGUUGGGUAAAAAGGUUAAGUCCUCUCAACUUUUCUACAUUUUAACUAAAUCAGAAAUUUACCUUUCAAUUUGGCAUAACAAUCUCUCCUUUUUUUUAUUAAAAAUCUUUUUACCCUUUUAUUGUCUGUUGCUGGGAUGUCUGGUGAAAUUAUUCCUCCUUUUUCUGAGUGCCCUUGACACUCCCGUGAGCUCUGCGUUCUGGGCUGUGCCUGGAACUGACUCUCUUAUCUCGGCUCGUUUCUCCUGCUUCAAAAUGAAAUCUUCAGUGCACAUAUUUUUUUUUACAAACAAUUGUACUUUUUCUUUCUUUUCCUUUUUCAUCACUAACAGCUGUUACAACAUAAGAUAUCUAUUUUCUUUUUAUUAUCAUUUAUUGAUUUUUCUUCCUUUGCCAUUUUUCUAUUUGAGGCACUUUUUAAAUCUUCAUCAUAUGAGCUGUUUACAGCUGCAUCGACUUCUAACCUCGGUCCGAACUUUUCAGCUUGGAAUAUCUUUUACAAAGAACUGCUAACAUUUUAUUAACAAAAACAAUCAAGCACAGUUGAUUUUCUUUAUUGCCAGUUUCUUUUCAAACAGACCCUCGGUUUGAGCAAUACGGUUAAGGGUGAACACCGGCCUGACUUUAUCUGUCCGUCUGGUGGUGUCACGAUUGGGUCCUCUGCACCAGAUCUCCUGGGCCACCAGAGGGAGCCCUCUCCCGAGUAUUAGGUUCAUUUGGACUACAAUUCCCAUACACCCACAUACCUGGGACUGAUCACGCUCGCACCUGCUGCCAAUCACUUCAUUACCCAUGCACUAUAAAACACCCAUUCUCACACUGUUCCUUGCGAAGUCUUGAUCAGCCAUGGUUAUCAUUUCUGAGCGUUCUUUCCUGUUUGUUUGCCUGUUAUCGAUUGGAUUGUUAUUCUGGACUGUGAUUCUUGCUGCCUGCCUACUUGACUGGCUGUUAUUGCUUAUUCCUGCCUGCCGCCUGCCUCGACCUCUUUGCCUGUCCCUGUUUACCCUGUCUGCCGCCUGCCUCGACCCUCUGCCUGUUACCUGGUUUAUGAUUCCUGUAUUGUCCUUGUUGUUGAAUAAACUGCAAAUGGAUCAAUACCUUUCUGAGUCGUUACAGGUGGUUUAAAUAGUAUUCUUUUUGGCACUCUACCACACCUAUAAGAAUAUAAAACAUUUUCUUUAGCUUUAUGUAUCAACAGUACCUAUCACAUUUCCCUUUUCUAGGAGCCUUAUACUGUAAUUUUAUCACAGGUAC
Long non-coding RNA from Ctenopharyngodon idella (grass carp), 2017 nucleotides. RefSeq lists it as uncharacterized. Lineage: Eukaryota; Metazoa; Chordata; Actinopteri; Cypriniformes; Xenocyprididae. The transcript has 3 exons. The record is from RefSeq and is a predicted model, not a curated record.